ACGGAAGGCAGCAGUGGGGAAUAUUGCACAAUGGGGGAAACCCUGAUGCAGCGACGCCGCGUGAGUGAAGAAGUAUUUCGGUAUGUAAAGCUCUAUCAGCAGGGAAGAUAAUGACGGUACCUGACUAAGAAGCCCGGCUAACUACGUGCCAGCAGCCGCGGUAAUACGUAGGGGGCAAGCGUUAUCCGGAUUUACUGGGUGUAAAGGGUGCGCAGGUGGUAUGGCAAGUCAGAAGUGAAAACCCGGGGCUCAACCCCGUGGAUUGCUUUUGAAACUGUCAAACUAGAGUACAGGAGAGGUAAGCGGAAUUCCUAGUGUAGCGGUGAAAUGCGUAGAUAUUAGGAGGAACACCAGUGGCGAAGGCGGCUUACUGGACUGAAACUGACACUGAGGCACGAAAGCGUGGGGAGCAAACAGGAUUAGAUACCCUGGUA
This 434-nucleotide ribosomal RNA is filed under the name uncultured Anaerostipes sp. RNAcentral's name for it is "partial 16S ribosomal RNA". It matches the Rfam family "Bacterial small subunit ribosomal RNA", at positions 341 to 792 of the family's 1533-position model. Lineage: Bacteria; Bacillati; Bacillota; Clostridia; Lachnospirales; Lachnospiraceae. The record is from RNAcentral.